This 275-nucleotide ribosomal RNA is filed under the name uncultured prokaryote. Its description in RNAcentral is "partial 16S ribosomal RNA". It matches the Rfam family "Bacterial small subunit ribosomal RNA", at positions 524 to 798 of the family's 1533-position model. The record is from RNAcentral.
UACGGAGGGUGCAAGCGUUGUUCGGAAUUAUUGGGCGUAAAGGGCGCGUAGGCGGUAAUGCUAGUCAGAUGUGAAAUACUCCGGCUCAACCGGGGAACUGCAUCUGAAACUGCAUAACUAGAGUACAGAAGAGGGAAACGGAAUUCCCGGUGUAGAGGUGAAAUUAGUAGAUAUCGGGAGGAACACCAGUGGCGAAGGCGGUUUCCUGGUCUGAUACUGACGCUGAGGCGCGAAAGUGUGGGGAGCAAACAGGAUUAGAUACCCUGGUAGUCCCU